AUAUGUGAGACUAAUCUGGCUGAGACAUCUGUCACUUCAUUAAUUGUCAAAGUUGAUUUAGCUGAUUUGGCUGGCUAGGAAGGUGUCUCCUUCCUCCCUCAUUGUUCCAUGUGUGAUCCUCCUGAAGCUUCAUGCUUGGCCAAAGAGGACAACCUUUCCCAGUUGAGAAGGACCAUUCUUCUGUCAAGGAUAUAUGAGUAGCUGCCCUCCCCUACUAAAACCUCCAAACAGGCUAUCAAGUGGUAAAACUUUUUAAGAUGUUAUCUUAUUUCCAGUGUCUUCCUG
Molecule: small nuclear RNA, 285 nt
Filed under: Spermophilus dauricus (Daurian ground squirrel)
Lineage: Eukaryota; Metazoa; Chordata; Mammalia; Rodentia; Sciuridae
Description: 7SK RNA (ENSSDAG00000006872.1)
Rfam family: 7SK RNA
About the family: 7SK was discovered as an abundant small nuclear RNA in the mid-70s but a possible function has only recently been suggested.
Source: RNAcentral